Priapulus caudatus is the source of this 1010-nucleotide long non-coding RNA. RefSeq lists it as uncharacterized. The transcript is spliced from 2 exons. NCBI's taxonomy places the organism in Eukaryota, Metazoa, Priapulida, Priapulimorpha, Priapulimorphida, Priapulidae. The record is from RefSeq and is a predicted model, not a curated record.
GCCGUAAGAGGCAGCGGCAGGCCAGCGUAAAGCAAAGUCGGCCUGCAUCACGGCGUGUCAAGUCAAGGGUGGAACCGAAGAGCCGCUUCUCCGCUCAUCCGUAAUAUUUCCGUCCCACCGGCAUCGGCGUGCGGGAGCAGUCCGGAAAUCCGCGACACUUACUGCGCGAUCAAUAAUAUAUGCAGCGGAAUUCAACUGCCAAGGAAAGGAGAAAACCGACGACGCGAACGAAAAUUGCUAGAGGCACAUCUCUCCGGGAAAAGAGACGAACGUUCAGAACGUAACCACUGCCGCCACCACCGCCAUCAUCAUCACCACCAUCACCACCAUCACCACCACCACCAUCACCACCAUCACCACCACCACUAUCUCGCCGUCUCUCUCGUCUGCCAACAUACGUAUUGACGAAGAUGCAAGCGAGCUGCUCAUCAUCAUGCGCCCCCUAACGAUGCCCCCCACGGACCGACUCGCUUGUCUAAUUCGAUUGUCGUUGUCGAGUUCGUUGUCGAGUUCGAGAACGGUUCGAGUAAUUUCGUCGGAUUCGAAUCUCUCUGGAUUCACGGCACAAUUCCAGUUGCGCUAUACCGGAACAUUCACCGCACGAUGGUGAAUGUACAUAGAAGCUGGCACCAUGGCGGGGCGAGAUUGUCCCGCCAAAACGUCGAAGUUAGAGAGAGACCAGCAUGUGUUCUAUAUUCUACACGCAGUUUAUAGUAAUCGACCGACAAAAGGUCGUCUUACCGAGUUAUUUCGCUAGAUUGGGCAGAGAGAUAGAGAAAGAGAGAGUGAGAUAGAGAAAGAAAGAGAGAGAGAAUGAGAGAGAGAGAAUGAGAGAGAAAGAGAUAAUGAGAGAGAGAGAGAGAGAGAGGAGAGAGAGAGAGACGAUAAGUAAGCUCUUGUUCAUGAAUUGCGUGUUUGAUCAAUGCCAGUAUGCGUUUCAUCAGCGAGCGUCGUGAAACGGAAACGUUACGCUAAAGGCCAUAAUAAAAGUAAAGCCAUAUUCAAUUGAA